UGCAUCCGAAAAUUCUUUAGUUCAGGCCCGAAUGGAGAUAGUGGUGCAGGCAGAGAGACCGUAGUCCAAAGCCAGGCCCAAAGCCCCUUCUGACUUAGACACCUCUAGGGGUUCAAACAAAGUCCUCUCAUUUCGCCAAGUGCUGCCUCAGAGACCUGGAGUCUCCUCCUCCAGAGACGAAUCUAGANACUUAGACACCUCUAGGGGUUCAAACAAAGUCCUCUCAUUUCGCCAAGUGCUGCCUCAGAGACCUGGAGUCUCCUCCUCCAGAGACGAAUCUAGAAACACCCUUCUUCACCCAACCGACCACCAUCAACCACCGUCCACGAUGUCGUCANCAACGAUGCUCGUUGCCGGAGCCACCAAGUUGAGGCCGUCAUCCCCGUCAAGGCCCCUUCGUCACCNUCGUGNCGCCGCCACUGUCNAAUCGGAGGCGNCGCUNCCUUAGUCUCUCNUUCGUGAAUCGCCUCUUGGAAGAGCUUGGCCAUUGCGAGCCGCAAGCCAAGGCCUCACCAGCGUCGCCNGUCAUCGCCUGAACCGUCGACAACAUCAUCAUCCAGGCCAUCAACGUCGUCGCCCUUCGCGGNGGCUCACCCNCUUCUGCUAGUCNCAUUGCUUAGCGACGCCGAU
This 630-nucleotide long non-coding RNA is filed under the name Vigna radiata. RNAcentral describes it as "long non-coding RNA (VRAD_LNC016912)". Lineage: Eukaryota; Viridiplantae; Streptophyta; Magnoliopsida; Fabales; Fabaceae. The record is from RNAcentral.